CCUAAUUCCUGUCUCAGAAUGACUUCAGCGUACAGACUCUCCUUCAACAAUUUGAUAUAAAUAAUCACCCUUUUGCAUUGAACAUUUUGUGAAAUAAAUUGUUUAUACUCUGCAAGCUGAGGAAAAUAGGCCACUCAACUAAAAUGUUUAAAACUCUUCAAAACUAUUACAUUCAUGGCAUCUAAUAAGAGAUUAUUAUUUUCUUCAUGGCAAGUUUCUUAAUAUUUUUUAUAACCAUUAGUGGCGGUGACAGAAGAGAAUACUAUUCUAUGUAACUUUUUUAUAUUUGUGCAAAAAAAAUGUGAUCAUGAUGUAUUAUGUUUACAUAAACUGACGUGACCAACAUGAAUGGUUUUUGUGUACUUACUAUUAGUCUGAAGAGCUGUCCAGUGGAAAGCAAUGUCUUUGCAACAGUAUGAGUAUACUGAAGCAGGGAAUAAGGAGAAGACUUUGGAUUUCUGCUUUGUCUUUACAGAGAUUCCAGCUGGCCACCAUAUUGAAGGGGAUUCUGUAACUGACUGGAUUUAACGCAAAGCAAAAAGAGACAUGACUGGUAGGCACAAAGAAUGGAUUGUAUUGAAACAAUUCCUGUGUGCCACUUCUAAUCCUCUUAUUCUGGCCUUAGUUGUGGAGACUAAUUCCCACGUAGGAUUCAACCAGAUUCACUGAGGUGCAACCUGGCAGCACAUUGCCUUAGGCAGACGUUGGGUACCUCUUACUUUCUGGUAGGGGUAUGCCUGCUCAUUAGAUAUUCACAGGAACUCUUAGCAUUUGUGCUUGUGUAGAGAUGGUAAUGCCCCGUGACAUAGCUCUUGACUAAUGGGGAAGAGACUUGAUUGACAAAUGCUUUCCCUUUUCUUUCCCCAGUGGAUGAUUCUGAGAAGCAUUUCACUAGGCUUUCAGAUGUUCUUUCAAGAUUGAUCUCCCUGUCAUACAAAAGUGGUAGCCAAAUCAAUAUGCAUUCCUCUGUUACUUUUCUCUUCUUCCCAUUCUCCUUCUGAUUCCUAGAACCACAGUCCCAAAUAAAUCACUCUCAAAUAAAAAUUUCCCUCAGUUGGUGCUUUUGUAAAAUGAGAAUAUUAUUUGCAUUCAUUUAAACCCGAUUAGAGGCCAGGAGUGGUGGCUCACCCAUGUAAUCCCAGCACUUUGGGAGGCUGAGGGACACGGAUCACUUGAGGUCAGGAGUUCAAGACCAGACUGGCCAACAUGGUGAAACCCUGUCUCUACUAAAAGUACAAAAAU
This 1242-nucleotide long non-coding RNA is filed under the name Homo sapiens (human). RNAcentral describes it as "HSALNT0187805". The record is from RNAcentral. Lineage: Eukaryota; Metazoa; Chordata; Mammalia; Primates; Hominidae.